This 386-nucleotide long non-coding RNA is filed under the name Trifolium pratense (red clover). RNAcentral describes it as "long non-coding RNA (TPRA_LNC011221)". Lineage: Eukaryota; Viridiplantae; Streptophyta; Magnoliopsida; Fabales; Fabaceae. The record is from RNAcentral.
UAAAUCAAAUUUUAUUCCGCCUCGGUUCCUUUUCCUGGGAUUCAUUCAACUCAGUUCAUCGUGGCUCCCACAAACCCUUCUUCUCAGUUCUCACCAUCAUCACUCACCCUCACACCAUAACCGUCACUCGUUCACACAAUCCUUCAACCACCUGAAAUUCUUCUUCUUGCUAUUGUUACACGAUACUCACCAUCGUCACUCACCAACUCUUUGAAACCCUACAACCCAAAACCUCUCCUUCCGUCUACGAUUUUAAACUCGUUGAAACCCUAAAACAAAAAUCACAUUUUUGCAACUAAGGACUGAGAAAGGCGAAUCCUGUACGAAUUCAAUCUCAUUGUCCUCGCUCACUCUUUCAUACGCCGUCUUCACGUUGUUGUUUCAGG